AGUUUCAGCGGGUCUGGCAGCGUGAAAGAAAAAGCUAAGCCUCUUCACGGAGCAAGUUUGUGUUGCUUUAAUAGUGCGCGAAAAACCUUCCUUUCCGAGUCCCUGACUGCUGAAGAGCGAGGCUAGUCCCGGCCUCUCCAGUGACAUUUUUGUCUGCCUCUCGCCUGGAGAAGUUCCCAGACCAGGGCCCGGGAUGGAACCCCUGCCACAGCAGUGACCCUAGCUAGCCACUGCGGUAACAAUGCUGGAUCCUUAAGGUGCUGUGCCACAUAGGAACUCCAAAACUUUACUUAUUUUCAACUAGAACAAUCAUUUAACAUAAUUUUACCUUCCAAUCUUUAAUGAAGGUUUUAAGUUAAUAUUUUCAAGAUUUUUUUUUUACUUGUUAUCAAUUGAGAGAAUUCCAAUGUUUGACCUGUUCUCAUGGCUCUGUGACAGUUUUUAACGAUAUUUAAGUCAGGUUACUGAAACACUGUUUCCAGGACUCCACCUUGACUAUGUUGUGUGAAAAAGAAGUUCAUUUCCUAUAUAAGCUGUUGGGACAUUUAGUAGGUCAGAUCGUUUUAAACUUUUUUGGUAAGAAUUUUUAAUUUUCUGGAAUUUGCCCAAAUGUCAUUGACAACUUGAAAGCUUCCUUUGAAACACUCUCAGGGAGUUGCAAGUGCAGGGCCAAUAUUGUCUUUCUAUAAAAUUUUGGGUUUUUUCCAUCAUGUGUAGGUUUUAGAAUUUUCAUUUUUAAUAUUGCCUUAAAAUAUACUUUACCUUGAUUACAUAGAUUUGGGGCCUCUUUAUAAUCCAUGUUUGUGCAAAGUAUUUGCUUACUUUACCCUAAUACUCCCCUGGGAAAUACUUAGAAUUAGUGUGGUGAUCUUCCGCAGCUGAAAAUAUAGGAAUGUCCUCUAUCUUAUCACCCUCACUUCCAUCUGUGUUUUUCACCCAUGUCCUGGUCUGCACAACUUUUUAAAAAAAUCUGUGUCUUAAUAUCACUGGAGGUGGUCUGAGACUAACUAAGGAUGAGGGAAGGACUAUUCAUCUCAUUUCUGUGAUUCACGGAACAACCAUAUUUUUUCAGACAAUUGUCCUAAAUACUUGUUCUCUGUAAAACACUUCAAGUGCUGUAGGAUUUCUCUCCAAAAUACCUCAGGCACCGCUCUAAGGGUGGAAGCUUGUGCUCUGAUCUCUCACAGUCCGACUGGCAGUUCCUCUCCAGGAGCUUGCAUUUGGGCCCUGAACAUGCAGACCCCGACUGUGGGUAAGAGAGCUGCAGUCAUAGCUUCUCUGGGCUGGGCUGAGCAUGGACUCUACCAUGUGUUAUACUAAUAUAAAAGCUGCUAUAAUUCACUGUAUUGAGAUUCUCAGCCUGUGAGAAUUUGCACUUAAUUUUACUUAAGCUUUACAAAUCCCUGAGUGACCACUAGUUCAGUUGUGUCAGUUUUUUAGAGAGGAAAUGAAAAUCUGAUGUCAGUUGAGGUCAGAGGCCACAGAUUUGGUGAGAGUGGAGCUUUCUGCUUCUCCCAGUCCCUCCUCUUCAUCAGUGCUGAGUACUGGCCCUCAUCUGUACUGAGCAUGUGCUGCUUCCUUCUCCUGAUCCUGCUUCUGAUGUCUGUCCUCCCUGCUCCUUACAAGGCAGUCCGUAUCCCUGUCUUACUUCCCUGGAAUCCACACUGCCAAGCACAUUGUCAUGUAUGUGUGCAGUCAACACAUUUUGGUGACAGAAAGAAGAGCAUGGUUUGAAUUAACCCUCUCCCUUUUUUUGAGGGGGGUGCAGAAAUACCUGCGUAAAAGUGGAAAGUUCCCAGGCCAGGGGUCAAAUUGGAGCUGCACCUGAUUGCCUACAAGACAGCCAGAGCAACUGGGGAUCUGAGAAGCAUCGACAACCUACAUCACAGCUCGCAGCAAUGCUGGAUUCUUAACACACUGAGUGAAGCCAGGGAUCAAACCCACAUCCUCAUGGAUAGUAGUCUGGUUUGUUUCUACUGAGCCACAAUGGGAACUCCUGAAUUAACCCUUGAUGUUAACAGUUGUGCCACAAUUGUUUGUAGACUAUGUCCAGAUGUAUGAGCUAUGAUGCCUGAGAGUAAUGUGGAGGAAUUCAACUCUAAUGUCAUAGCCCCUUAAAAAGGAAAUGGAGACAGGCUAGUAGUUGUAUUUUGAUGCAUUAAGAAGUGUGGAAAUGGAGAGCAAUCUCAAAUCUCUAAGUAUUCUUAUUAGAAUUAAAAAAGACAUAGAUUGAGAAUCAGAUUUUUAUUUCAACCUUGGGUCUCAUUUAGGUGAAUACAUGCUACUGGACUGAUCCUCUGUCAAAUUCCAUGAGUGUGUUUAAUUUCCAGCAUAAUAAACAAAUGAGGCAUUGGAGUUGUCACAUUACUUGGAAGAGGUAUUGAGAAAAACGUGGAAACAACAUUGAGAUAGGAAGAGAAAUGACAAUCCUGGCCUGUAUAACACUGUCCCUUGCAGGCAGGUUUUCAGAGCAUCUGGAGAACGUCUCCUAUGGCCAGACAUCUGCAUCAGCAAGCUCACUGGGGACCUGCCAGGCUCUUCACUGGUGACAUGGAGGAUGAUGGUCUCCAGCCCCGUCUGCAGACUUAGCUGUGACCUGGCCCAGAUCCAUGGCCUGCCAAAGCAGGAGACCCCCACAGUUCUGCACCUAAUGGGGAGAGUCCUCCUUGUUUUCCUGCCUGAAGGACAGGAAUGCUUUGGGGUUCCCCAAAAGCUGAACAGCAGGCAGUUGCAAAAAGCUCAGGCCACCUCUUUCUCCAUGAGAUGAUCCAGCCGAGCUUCAACUUGUUUGGCACAAACAGCUGAAAUUCCUCACUGGGCUUGAUCAGCAGGAGGAAGCUCUGCAGACCAGUUUGGUGCAGGAGCCUGGGGAAGAAAAGACCUUCCUGGAGAUGAGGACUCUAGCCUGACUUUGAAUAACUCCUUUUGAAGGACCAGGUUACAUCUGAAAAGGAAGUACAUAGCUGCUGUGCACGGGACAUUGUCAGACUGGAAAUUAAGACCUGAAAACCAGUAUGUGCUUUCCCUAUAGCAUCAACCUCAGAGAAAAUCCAGGAGUGGGAAAGGAGACUUGGACCCAGUCAUGUACAACUGAGUCUUAUCUACUUAUAGGUGCCUCUUGUGUGUCAGUGUUCCCUCAGUUCAAAGACUUUUCUGCUUCGGUUGUAAAUGCAUUGAGUCAUCUCGGCAAAUUGUUUUUCAAUACUAAAAAGAGAGUAUAAUUUUGAAUUGAGAGUAACUUUUUAGUGUGGUAUUUACAGAUAAAUUCUCUAUGAGUUUUGUAUUUACAAAUUUUUUUUUUCAUUUUAUGCCCUGCUAUGUAUCUUGUUUUUCUUUGCACUGGGGUGCAAGAGACAUACUUUGUUUUUUUAAGGCUUUGCUUACUGUAUUUUUUUUUAUUUUAUGAUUUUUAUUUUUUCCAUUAUAGUUGCUUUACAGUGUUAGAUCUUACUCACACUGUUAUGCAAAGUAUCCUUAAACCUUUAAUCGGCCUUAAAACCCUAAAAGAAUGUUUUACUCAUUUCAUUGAUUCUUAAAAUAUUUUUAAGAAUCUUUGUUCCUAGUAAUUUACUUGUGUUUGUAAAUAUAUUGGUAAAUAAAACAAAGAUAUCACUUUC
RNAcentral lists this long non-coding RNA (3617 nucleotides) under Sus scrofa (pig). RNAcentral's name for it is "lncRNA (ENSSSCG00050074439.1)". Lineage: Eukaryota; Metazoa; Chordata; Mammalia; Artiodactyla; Suidae. The record is from RNAcentral.